ACAACGACAGCACAAACAAAAGCCACUGAAAUGUCGCAACAAGACCAAAAACUAAAAAAAGUCCUCAUUUAAACCAGGAAAAAAAAUACGUGGCACCUCUUCACCCUCCCACCUAGUCACCUAUUACCUACCCAACCAAGAUGGGCCCCAUUCCCACCCAAUACCCCCCGGGUACUUGCAAUUUCUUUUUCUCUUAGCACCUCGAAUAUAUCUGCAUUUUAUCGUUAUUUCAUCCGCCACAAAUUUAAGCUACUCUCCGUUUUACCGGAUUAAUUAUCUGUCAUUCUCAUUCUAAUGAUUUAAUAACUGACUAUGAUUAUCCCCUUCUCAUUAGAUAACCCUGCGACCCUAUCCAUGUUGCAGGUUUCCUCCUACAAGAUACAGAGGUCAGUACUGGGCAUAAUAGGUGUGAUCUGAAACCGGCAACCGGAGAAAAACCGGUAAAAAUAAACAAAAACAACGAUGAAACCAAAGCGACUCAAAAAAGGAAACCGAACCGAGUCGGUUAACUGGCGAGUCAACUCACCGAAAACUCGGCACUGGUCGCAGUACACAGAUCUGGAUCUGGCAACAUCCUCCUCCACGAUGUCGAGGCACACCGCCGCCGCACCACCGGACUCCGCACCCCCUUCGCCGGCGACGUCGCCAACACGGAAGAGGAUCUGCCAUGUCAGCAGAUGAGGGAAGAGCGCGGAAGGCGGCGGGAGAAGCGCGUGCUUCGUAAGGAAGGAUCGGACGGCAGAUCUGAAGGGAGCGCCGGCGAAGCCCUCGUGGGCGGCGAGUGAUGGGGAGGGGAACGAGAGAAAGUCGUAGAAAUCAGCCGUGACUCUCCUCUUCAUGCGCUUCAGAGGCUUCCCUCCACUAACGACCAUGAUCGAGGAGGAAGAGACGGUGGCUGGCGCGUGGUCCAGUGUGUGCGGCGCGUGGGGCGAGAUCUCGUCGGGGAAAGGCCAAAAUAUUGUAGAUCUGGAUGUGUAGGUGAAAGAAAUGGACGGCAGAGAGUGGUGGAGGAAAUGAAA
Arachis ipaensis is the source of this 1019-nucleotide long non-coding RNA. RefSeq lists it as uncharacterized. NCBI's taxonomy places the organism in Eukaryota, Viridiplantae, Streptophyta, Magnoliopsida, Fabales, Fabaceae. The record is from RefSeq and is a predicted model, not a curated record.